AUUGAACGCUGGCGGCAGGCCUAACACAUGCAAGUCGAGCGGAUGAAGGGAGCUUGCUCCUGGAUUCAGCGGCGGACGGGUGAGUAAUGCCUAGGAAUCUGCCUGGUAGUGGGGGAUAACGUCCGGAAACGGGCGCUAAUACCGCAUACGUCCUGAGUGAGAAAGUGGGGGAUCUUAGGACCUCACGCUAUCAGAUGAGCCUAGGUCGGAUUAGCUAGUUGGUGGGGUAAAGGCCUACCAAGGCGACGAUCCGUAACUGGUCUGAGAGGAUGAUCAGUCACACUGGAACUGAGACACGGUCCAGACUCCUACGGGAGGCAGCAGUGGGGAAUAUUGGACAAUGGGCGAAAGCCUGAUCCAGCCAUGCCGCGUGUGUGAAGAAGGUCUUCGGAUUGUAAAGCACUUUAAGUUGGGAGGAAGGGCAGUAAGUUAAUACCUUGCUGUUUUGACGUUACCAACAGAAUAAGCACCGGCUAACUUCGUG
Molecule: ribosomal RNA, 484 nt
Filed under: uncultured bacterium
Lineage: Bacteria
Description: partial 16S ribosomal RNA
Rfam family: Bacterial small subunit ribosomal RNA
Source: RNAcentral